GACCGGGCUGCUCCACCUUCACCUCUGAAAAAAGAGAACGAAACAAGGUUCAGAAACAAACUACAGAAAACUGAAGGUCCGAGACCGGGCAGCCGCACCUUCACCUCUGAAAAAAAGAGAACGAAACAAGGUUCAGAAACAAACUACAGAAAACUGAAGGUCCGAGACCGGGCAGCCGCACCUUCACCUCUGAAAAAAGAGAACGAAAACAAGGUUCAGAAACAAACUACAGAAAACUGAAGGUCUGAGACCGGGCUGCUCCACCUUCACCUCUGAAAAAAAAGAGAACGAAAACAAGGUUCAGAAACAAACUACAGAAAACUGAAGGUCAGAGACCAGACUGCCGCACCUUCACCUCUGAAAAAAGAGAACGAAACAAGGUUCAGAAGCAAACUACAGAAAACUGAAGGUCCGAGACCGGGCAGCCGCACCUUCACCUCUGAAAAAAAGAGAACGAAACAAGGUUCAGAAACAAACUACAGAAAACUGAAGGUCCGAGACCGGGCAGCCGCACCUUCACCUCUGAAAAAAGAGAACGAAAACAAGGUUCAGAAACAAACUACAGAAAACUGAAGGUCCGAGACCGGGCAGCCGCACCUUCACCUCUGAAAAAAGAGAACGAAAACAAGGUUCAGAAACAAACUACAGAAAACUGAAGGUCAGAGACCGGGCUGCCGCACCUUCACCUCUGAAAAAA
Thalassophryne amazonica is the source of this 697-nucleotide long non-coding RNA. RefSeq lists it as uncharacterized. NCBI's taxonomy places the organism in Eukaryota, Metazoa, Chordata, Actinopteri, Batrachoidiformes, Batrachoididae. The record is from RefSeq and is a predicted model, not a curated record. The transcript is spliced from 2 exons.